GUCCAGCUGACGAGCCCCAAGUAGGACGAAACGCGCGUCGAACUGGAU
Schistosoma haematobium is the source of this 48-nucleotide non-coding RNA. The record is from Rfam. NCBI's taxonomy places the organism in Eukaryota, Metazoa, Platyhelminthes, Trematoda, Strigeidida, Schistosomatidae.